UUCCGUAGGGGGUACCUGCGGAGGGAUCAUUACCGAGUUUACAACUCCCAAACCCCUGUGAACAUACCACUUGUUGCCUCGGCGGAUCAGCCCGCUCCCGGUAAAACGGGACGGCCCGCCAGAGGACCCCUAAACUCUGUUUCUAUAUGUAACUUCUGAGUAAAACCAUAAAUAAAUCAAAACUUUCAACAACGGAUCUCUUGGUUCUGGCAUCGAUGAAGAACGCAGCAAAAUGCGAUAAGUAAUGUGAAUUGCAGAAUUCAGUGAAUCAUCGAAUCUUUGAACGCACAUUGCGCCCGCCAGUAUUCUGGCGGGCAUGCCUGUUCGAGCGUCAUUUCAACCCUCAAGCACAGCUUGGUGUUGGGACUCGCGUUAAUUCGCGUUCCUCAAAUUGAUUGGCGGUCACGUCGAGCUUCCAUAGCGUAGUAGUAAAACCCUCGUUACUGGUAAUCGUCGCGGCCACGCCGUUAAACCCCAACUUCUGAAUGUGACC
RNAcentral lists this ribosomal RNA (493 nucleotides) under Fusarium oxysporum. RNAcentral's name for it is "eukaryotic LSU rRNA". The stretch from base 181 to 334 matches the Rfam family "5.8S ribosomal RNA". The record is from RNAcentral. Lineage: Eukaryota; Fungi; Ascomycota; Sordariomycetes; Hypocreales; Nectriaceae.